This 539-nucleotide long non-coding RNA is filed under the name Callithrix jacchus (white-tufted-ear marmoset). Its description in RNAcentral is "lncRNA (ENSCJAG00000069743.1)". The record is from RNAcentral. Lineage: Eukaryota; Metazoa; Chordata; Mammalia; Primates; Cebidae.
CCGUCUCUACUAAAAAUACAAAAGAUUAGCUGGGCAUGGUGGCGCGUGCCUGUAAUCCCCGCUACUCAGGAGGCUGAGGCAGGAGAAUUGCCUGAACCCAGGAGGCGGAGGUUGCGGUGAGCCGAGAUCGCGCCAUUGCACUCCAGCCUGGGUAACAAGAGCGAAACUCCGUCUCAAAACAAACAAACAAAAAAAAAACAUAAUUGAGAAAGAACCAAUUGGGAAAAACUGGGCAAACAAGAACAGAAGUUCUCUCCGUGGGUCACAGGUUUUAUCUGGAACCAGCAGUCUGGUCUUUCAGCCUUCCGUCUGUUUUCAGCUUGAAGGUGGAGUUUCACCAGGGACCCGCCCCUAUCUGCUGAGAUUCAGAGACGAUGGCGGGGCUACAGGGUUCGGAAAUACGUCUUUAAUUAUUAUUAUUUCAAAGAGUAUCUGAGAGUCGUGUCAGAGACCAAUGAUGCAAUUAGGUAAGUAGUACAAUCACCCGUUGACUAGGGAAAACUUUGGAAAGGUGAGUCAAUGUAUGUUGAUCAACGCCA